RNAcentral lists this ribosomal RNA (321 nucleotides) under uncultured bacterium. RNAcentral's name for it is "bacterial SSU rRNA". It matches the Rfam family "Bacterial small subunit ribosomal RNA", at positions 772 to 1088 of the family's 1533-position model. The record is from RNAcentral.
ACCCAAUAGAUACCCGGGUAGUCCUGGCCCUAAAACGAUGAAUGCUUGGUGUGGCGGGUAUCGAUCCCUGCCGUGCCGAAAGCUAAACGCAUUAAGCAUUCCGCCUGGGGAGUACGGUCGCAAGGCUGAAACUCAAACGGAAUUGACGGGGGUCCCGCACAAGCGGUGGAGCAUGUGGUUUAAUUCGACGCAACGCGAAGAACCUUACCCAGGCUUGAACUGCAGACGACAUCCUACGAAACGUAGGCUUCCGCAAGGACGUCUGUAGAGGUGCUGCAUGGCUGUCGUCAGCUCGUGUCGUGAGAUGUUGGGUUUAAACGU